UAACACGUGGGUAACCUGCCUUAUAGUGGGGGAUAGCCUUUCGAAAGGAAGAUUAAUACCGCAUAAGAUUGUAGUAUCGCAUGAUAUAGCAAUUAAAGGAGCAAUUCGCUAUAAGAUGGACCCGCGUCGCAUUAGCUAGUUGGUAAGGUAAUGGCUCACCAAGGCGACGAUGCGUAGCCGACCUGAGAGGGUGAUCGGCCACAUUGGGACUGAGACACGGCCCAGACUCCUACGGGAGGCAGCAUG
RNAcentral lists this ribosomal RNA (246 nucleotides) under uncultured bacterium. Its description in RNAcentral is "partial 16S ribosomal RNA". It matches the Rfam family "Bacterial small subunit ribosomal RNA", at positions 111 to 353 of the family's 1533-position model. The record is from RNAcentral.